GAUGAACGCUGGCGGCGUGCCUAAUACAUGCAAGUCGAGCGAACAGACGAGGAGCUUGCUCCUCUGACGUUAGCGGCGGACGGGUGAGUAACACGUGGAUAACCUACCUAUAAGACUGGGAUAACUUCGGGAAACCGGAGCUAAUACCGGAUAAUAUAUUGAACCGCAUGGUUCAAUAGUGAAAGACGGUUUUGCUGUCACUUAUAGAUGGAUCCGCGCCGCAUUAGCUAGUUGGUAAGGUAACGGCUUACCAAGGCAACGAUGCGUAGCCGACCUGAGAGUGUUAUCGGCCACACUGGAACUGAGACACGGUCCAGACUCCUACGGGAGGCAGCAGUAGGGAAUCUUCCGCAAUGGGCGAAAGCCUGACGGAGCAACGCCGCGUGAGUGAUGAAGGUCUUCGGAUCGUAAAACUCUGUUAUUAGGGAAGAACAAAUGUGUAAGUAACUAUGCACGUCUUGACGGUACCUAAUCAGAAAGCCACGGCUAACUACGUG
This 497-nucleotide ribosomal RNA is filed under the name uncultured bacterium. Its description in RNAcentral is "partial 16S ribosomal RNA". It matches the Rfam family "Bacterial small subunit ribosomal RNA", at positions 28 to 507 of the family's 1533-position model. The record is from RNAcentral.